This 494-nucleotide ribosomal RNA is filed under the name uncultured bacterium. RNAcentral describes it as "bacterial SSU rRNA". It matches the Rfam family "Bacterial small subunit ribosomal RNA", at positions 29 to 518 of the family's 1533-position model. The record is from RNAcentral.
AUGAACGCUAGCGACAGGCCUAACACAUGCAAGUCGAGGGGCAGCACAAGGAGCAAUCUGAGGUGGCGACCGGCGCACGGGUGAGUAACACGUAUGCAACCUGCCUGUAAGCGGGGAAUAACCCGUUGAAAGACGGACUAAUACCGCAUAAUACUAAAUUACUGCAUGGUAAUUUAUUUAAACAUUUAUGGCUUACAGAUGGGCAUGCGCAUGAUUAGCUAGUUGGAGAGGUAACGGCUCCCCAAGGCAACGAUCAUUAGGGGUUCAGAGAGGAAGGUCCCCCACACUGGUACUGAGACACGGACCAGACUCCUACGGGAGGCAGCAGUGAGGAAUAUUGGUCAAUGGACGAGAGUCUGAACCAGCCAAGUCGCGUGCAGGAAGAAUGUCCUAUGGAUUGUAAACUGCUUUUGCAGGGGAAUAAAGUGCAUCACGUGUGAUGUUUUGUAUGUACUCUGCGAAUAAGGAUCGGCUAACUCCGUGCCAGCAGCUGC